CGCCGAGCUAAGUGACUCUUGCUUGUAACCCAAGUGGGGGCACCAAGGUGGUGGGACAUCGGUUCGAUCCAUUUGGCAGGACUUGAUGUUGCAAUUUGCUGGCUCGCCCGUUCCAAGUUGAGAGUUGGGCCCUGUGGUUCGGGCUUAAGCUUGGGCCGUGGCCCUUAGAGCGGAGGGCAAUGCGUGAGGCUGGUUUCACAGAGCAGCGAAAACCUCCCGCUCUCAACAGUGGAAGGAUGACGUGUCGGUGCACCGCUAGCCCAGAUUGUCUCAUGGGUUGAAACCAGUUGAACCACCACCUUUUUGCGAAACAAACAUUGUGUGACAAAUUGCGUGCAAUUUUCGAAGCCGAAAAUCUUGUCCUCGAUAUUUCAGAACAUCAUCAUAAUAACAAAUUAACCAUGAAAUUAAGCACGUAUGCGAUCUAAUAUCAUAGAAAAGUUACCAUUUUAUCAGUUUGCUAAUUGUUUUUUGUUGUUAACCAAUAAAUAAAUAAAUAAUACUGUUUAAUUCUUGUUUAAUUAGUUGGUUUUUUGUCCAUGGCUAAACAAGAAGAGGUCCUAUAUGUUCAUGUGUAAGAUGGGUUAAGUUUAAUUAAUCUGAUAAAAAAGAGUGAUUAAGGAUUAAAAUUAGGGUUUUGUUUAGGAUUAAUUUGAUAUAUUCUUGCACAUCCUAUGUUUUUUGUCUUCAAAUAAUUCUUCGUAAAUAUAUGUUGAAGCACAAAUUUUCCAUCGCGAAAACAAAUCAUUAGUAUAUUUUUCAUUACAUGUAGAAGACACAGUCUCAGAAAACUAGGACAAAGAACUGAAGUUCUUCUGCAACUCUACACAACUGAAAGUAAGGCUCGCUCAAUGGAGCUCGAGUGUUUUUUGUAAACUUGCGUAUUUAGUGAGAGAGUAGGGACCUCAGAUUUAUACAGUAUACAAUGGAUUUCAAUAAGGAUCCCUCCCAUUAAGUGAUCCUUAUCUUUAUCAUCGUGAAACACUUAUGCGUUAUAUCAGUUAGAAGAAUUCUAUUUUUACUGAGAAUAUAUCUAACUUGAAACUUUAAGAAAUACAACUCCUGAUAAGUCUACCACAAGUGGCAAUCGUAAUCUCCAUAUCUUUCCGAAUGUCUUUGAUCAAAUAACCAAGUGUAUGCUCUCGUAUAUAACUUACAGAGAGAUCUGCAAAAGAAGCAGGAAGAGGACCAAGUGUUUGGGACUACUAUGCUUAGAAAUUCCCAGGUUUAUAUAUAUACCAGCUGUUAAGACAUAUUAUAAUGCAUGCAUGGAAUGAGAAACUCGGGUCUAGUAGAGCUAUAUGCGUUCAGAGUUGUGGCUUGCAUACAACCGGUAUCCAAUGAGCAUAAGAUCAUAUCUUCUACAAACAUGACUCCACUUUAGAGGAAAUAACAUAUAAUCGAAUUUUUUUGCUUACCAAAGUGUUCUUACUAAAAGUAAAUAAGCAACAUGUUCGAUCCGUUCCAUAGGACUGGCUGCUUUCUUUAUCUCGCUUUUCCUUUCUUAGUUUCUGUUUACAUCGGUGGGAAUAGUCAACAAGGGUGGUUUUAAAUAUAAUUACCCUACUCUAACUACUACCGAGGGCCUUUGUGGUAAAACCCUACACCUAAUGGAUUUGGCAUAUAGUAAAGUUGGGGACAAUAUCGGUGUCGUUAGAGUGGGACCCCCUGGCCCGUCAAUCUAAAAAAUUUCAACAGUUUCAUAUGCUCAUUUUGUUUUGUUUACAUCCAGGACGGAUUGCAGACCACACUAACAUGUUUAAAGCCAUUGAUUCAUACAAAGCGAUACAAGGUGAUACUUAAGUUUCUCUCGUCUUCGGCAUAAGAUUUAACCAAAAAUAUUUGUAAUUAUAGGAUGAAGUGAAGGCUCUAAGGAGCUUGGAGUUGAUUCUCACAGAUUUUCCCUCUCUUGACCUGGAUUCUCCUAAUAAGUAAUCAUAAUUUUACCUAGAUUUAUUGUCUGCUAAUAAGCAGUUUCAUGGAAGCUGCAUGUUUAUGUUUAAUCUCUACUAAAAUUUUCACUUUGUUCGAAAUUUACAAUGUUUAGACGGAACCUUGAAUGGUAGAGUAAACUAACAGAACAUCGAUCACUACGACAACUUCAUCGACGAACUAAUAAAAAAUUGUAUACAAUCUGUUCAAAAAAUUCCAUUACACUACAACAUUAUCUUUGUUAUAUUAUUAUAGAUAAGUUUGUUGAAUCUGUAUAUCCAGAAUUCCGCAGGUUUCUUUGAAAUCUCAUGAGAAUUUCAGUUGGAAUUUUGUUUACAUUUGUACUAAUUUGUACCUCAUCGACCACCGCAAUAUAAACACAGUGCUUUAUAUACGAAGUUACUUGUGCACUGUUCGCCGAGCUAUGUCACUCUAGCUUGUAACCCAAGUGGGGGCGCCAAGGUGGUGGGACAUCGGUUCGACCCAUUUGGUAGGACUAGUCGUUGCAAUUUGCUGGCUCGCCCGUUCCAAGUUGAGAGUUGGGCCCUGUGGUUCGGGCUUAAGCUUGGGCCACGUGGCCCUUAGAGCGGAGGGCAAUGCGUGAGGCUGGUUUCACAGAGCAGCGUAAACGUCCCGCUCUCAACAGUGGAAGGAUAACGUGUCGGUGCACCGCUAGCCCAGAUUGUCUAAUGGGUUGAAACCAGUUGAACCACCACCUUUUUUCACGUUCUUUUCGUAUUUCGUCGACCUUUUCUUUUUUUAUAAAAUUUCUAUGCACAAACUGCUUGCUGUACACACCAUAUUUUCCUAGCUCAUGCUUAACACAUUAGGGACGAACUCUAAGAGGUCGAUUAUUCGAGAACAUCAACAUAAUAACAGAUUAACCAUGAAAUUAGGGACGGAUUGCAGACCACACGAACAUCAGUUGGAAUUAAUAUGUACUAGAAGUCCAGAACCCUAAAUACCAAACUCCUAAUAUAGCCUGCGCUUAAUAUCUAGACAAGGUUAUCAUUUUCUCAGUUAAUUGUUUCCAAUCGUUGGCCAAAAAAUAAAUAAAGAAAAUACUGUUUAAUUCUUGUUAAAUUGUUUAUUGUUCAAGGCUAUACAAGAAGAGGUCCUAUAUAUUCUCGUGAACGAUGGGUUAAGUUUACUUAAUGUGAUAAUAAAGGGUGAUUAAGGAUUAAGACUAGGAUUUUUGUCUGGAGGUCAUGGAGUUCUUACCAUCAUGGUUAAGGAUUGUACAAGGGAUGUGGGCUAUUGCUUUUAUUAGUGCCUCUUUGUCACAAGGUUUGCAGUUUGUAAUUAUAAAAUUAACUUAGAUAAACAUCUGAAAUCUUAAAAUUGUUCUUGAUAAUUAUUUUUUGCUUUGUUUGCUCACCAUAUUGCAUCAACAACUAAGACAAAAAUUACAGGUGUGGAACAGUUCUUCACAUAGAAAUAUGUUGAAGCACUGACUUUCCUAUCGAGAAAACACGCCUUCGGUUUUUUUUUUGGUUAUUUUCAAGCUGCAUGCAUUAGGCAACUCAAACAUGAAAAAGGUAACUAAAUUUAAGUGCAUAUGUUGAUGCAGCUGAUGUGAAUGCUGAGAGCGAGUUUCAGCCAUUGCGAAAUGCAUCAAACCCUGAAGAACUAAAAGUGAAGAGGUCCGACUUCCCUAGUGAUUUCGUGUUCGGAGUCACCACUGCUGCUGCACAAAUGGAAGGAUCUGCAAAAGAAGCAGGAAGAGGACCAAGUGUUUGGGACUACUACAUUGAGAAAUUCCCAGGUUUAUAUAUACACACACACAUUAUAUAUAUCAGCUGCCAUAAGAUCAUAUUAUAAUGCAUGCAUUUCUUUUCUUAGUUUAAUAUGCUCGUUCUGUUUUGUUUAUGAUUUUUUUGUUUGCGAUCAGGACGGAUUGCAGACCACACGAACAUGUUUACAGCCAUUGAUUCAUACAAGCGAUACAAGGUGCAUAUCGAGCUAGCGAAAACCAAGUUUCUCUAGUCUUUGGGAUAAAUAUUUAACCAAAUAUUGUAAUUGUAGGAAGAAGUGAAGAAUCUCAAGGACCUUGGAGUUGAUUCUCACAGAUUUUCCAUCUCUUGGACCAGGAUUCUUCCUAGUAAUCAAUUUUACCGAGUUCUUUUUUUUAACGCUAAUUUUGUAAAUUAAAAUUGAGGGUUUUAUGAUUAAUCUCUACUAAACUCUUGCUCUAUAUAUGUUUGAAAUUCUCAAUGUGUAGAGGGAACCUUGAGUGGUGGAGUAAACCAAGAGGGUAUCAAUCACUACAACAACUUCAUCGACGAACUAAUCAAGAAUGGUAAGAAUCUCUGUUCAAGCAAAACCUUUAUAUUACGACAUUAAUUAAUCUUGUUAUAUAUUAUACAUAGGAUCCUUUUAUAUCAAUAUCGUUGAAUGAAAAAAAACUCCACUUCAGUCGAUUCGGACCUCCACUUAGUUUCACCCAAGCUUUGUUGAGCUUGUAUACCAGAAGGAUCCCAUAGAUUUCUGUAAUCUCAUGAAGUUCGACUCUAACAUCACAUGACGGGGUUAACUAUCACAUCAAAGCUGUUCUAAUAUUUCACUUUAAUGUAGACAUCACACCAUUUGUGACCAUAUUGCACUUUGAUCCACCACAAGCUUUGACAGACAAGUAUGGCGGCAUCCUCAAUCGCUCCUUCGUGUAAGCACCUUCUAAAUUACAUCCAUUUCAUUUCUCAUAGUUUAGGAUAAUAUAAAAUUUAGUCAUUGACAUAAAUUCUGAUAUUUCUUCAUCACGUUUUGCAGGAAAGAUUUCAAGGAUUACAGUGAACUUUGUUUUAAACUUUUUGGAGAUAGGGUGAAAAAUUGGUUUACAAUCAACGAGCCGUGGAUCAUGGCGAAAAUGGGGUACGACAAAGGCGUUGGUCCGCCGGGCAGGUGUUCUGUUCAAACUGUAUUUCCAUGCACAAAUGGUGGUAAUUCAGCCACGGAACCUUACAUUGUGGCACACCACCUUCUCCUUGCCCAUGCUUCAGUCGUUGAGCUUUACCGGAAGAAAUUUCAGGUGAAAUGCUCACACUGAAUCUGUUGAAAUGAAUGAAGCCUUGUCUUUUGAUUAUCUCAAAUUAAUGAGAUAAAUGUUCUUUCUUGGUUGAUAUUGGUUUUUAGGAUAAACAAGGCGGACAAAUUGGAAUUAGUCUUGUAGGACAAUAUGUCAUGCCUUAUUCGAAUUCGGCAGAAGACAAAGCUGCAGCAGAAAGAAUAUUAGACUUUGAACUUGGAUGGUUAGUAGAUAUAUCUACAUUGGUCCUAAAUAUACUUGCUCGAUUGGUAUAAGAAGUCUUCUAGUUGUAAAUUUUCCUAAAACAAUAUGAUGUUCUUGUUUAGGUUCAUGGAACCAUUAGUAUAUGGAUCAUAUCCAGAGAGUAUGAGACCUUUGGUCAAGGACAGGCUACCACAUUUCACCAAGGAGGAGGAGAAGAUGAUCAAUGGAUCCUUAGGUUUUGUCGGCAUCAACUAUUACUCCACAAGAUAUGGUAGAAACGUCCCAGCAAAACCACAAGGACCAAUCUCUUAUAGCGACGAUAUUUUAGCUUUGGCGUUGAUCACAAGUAAAUUUCAUAAUAUCUCAAUGUUGCUUCUUUUGUGUUUGCACGCAUGUGUUAUUGUGCCAUGGAAGGUUAAAUUGAUAGGACUUACACGGUUUUUUCAUGUUGUGAUUGUUGUAGAUGAAAACGGAACCCAAAUUGGUCCUAAGGUAUACAAAAGAGCAUGGACCCAUGCACAAGGAUGAUACGCAUAUAUAAUUUUGCACUAUGUAGUUUCCAUCUUUCUAUAUAUAGCAAAACUAAAUUCUUUCAUCCGUGUAGGCGGGAGGAAGUCGGUUCGUCUACAGUUACCCACAAGGCCUGGAACAACUUCUAAAGUUUAUGAAGAAGAAGUACCAGGACCCUAAAAUCUACAUUUCUGAACAUGGAAUAACCGAGGCAAAGGACGAUAAACUAAGACUUAGUGAUGCACUUAAGGAUCCACAUAGAAUUGAAUCCAUUCUUCGCCAUUUGUACCGGAUCAAGAAGGCAAUAGAGUAAGUCACUGCAAUCUAUGUUAACAAGUUUGAGGAUGCAUACAUGCAUUUACUUAUGUUGUUUCUGUCCUUGUUUUGGAAGGAGUGGUGUGAAUGUCAAAGGAUAUUUCCACUACACUUUAUCUGAUAAUUUUGAAUGGGGAGAAGGCUAUAUCCCAAGAUUCGGGCUUUACUACGUCGACUACAAAGACAAUCUCAAGCGCAUUCCUAAAGAGUCUGCUAAGUGGCUCCCUAAGUUCCUAAAGGGCGAGGCUUGAUGUACUCAAGUUCGAUAUAAACUCCAGAUGGUUGUCAAGCUCAUCUACUUUCUUGCACACAAAUGCAGAAAACUGUAAAGAAAGAGUGGUAGAAUAUGUACUAUAUAUGCCUUGAAUGUUCAGUUUUAUAGGCUUGGUAUUUCUGUGGGAAUGCCCUGUACUUUUAAUACUGGCAUAGGUUUGUAAUAUACUUGUUAUAUUGCGAGCAAAACAAUAUUACAUCAACUUCUUUGAUGGUCCAAUAUCCUAGUGGAUAGGGUGUUGGGUUUCACCCAUGCAUCUCGAGUUUGAAACUCCUCAUUCCCCUAAAUUAGUGGAAUAGUUUUGAACUUUCCCUUCUCCUUAAUAAUAAUAAUAAUAAUAAUUGAAAAAGAGAGGAGAGUUUAAGGGUUUCUUACACUCAAUGAAACAUGUGAAGCAAUUGUAUCUGCCAUUGCAAGGAGGCAGGAGUUUCUUAUACUAUUUUCCCUUAUUCCUGCUAUAAAUAAUUGGGUGCAUGGGAAGGGGGAUUAAAUUUUCAAUAGCAAAAACAUGUCUUCAGUUUGUUUUUCAUUAUUUUCAAAAAGAGCCUGUACUAGGCAACUGAAACAUGAAAAUUUAAGGGUGAAAAAAUUGACAUAGUCAUUACUUUAAGUGCAAGAAAAAAAAGUGACUAAGUUUAAGGGGACGUGUUGAUCAAUCGUUGCAGUUUCUGCGCAAAAUGCAUCAAACCCUCAAGAACUCAAUGUCAAGAGGUCCAACUUUCCUAAUGAUUUCCUGUUCGGAGUCACUACUGCUGCUGCACAAAUAAGGAUUUGCAAAAGAAGCAGAAAGAGGCCCAAGUGUUUGGUACUGUUGCGUUGAGAAAUUCCCAGGUUUAUAUAUCAGAUGUUUGGGACCAAGUGUUUUGUUUAUGAUUCUUUUGCAGACCACACGAACAUGUUUACAGCCAUCGAUUCAUACAAGCAGUAGAAGGUGCAUAUCGAGCAAGCAAUAAUUAAGUUUCUCUCGUCUUUGGCCUAAAUAUAUAACCAAAUAUUUGUAACUGUAGGCAGAAGUGAAGGCUCUCAAGGACCUUGGAGUUGAUUCUCACAAAUUUUCCAUCUCUUGGAACCGGAUUCUUCCUAGUAAGUAGUUAUAAUUUUACCUAGUUCUAUUGUUCCGCUAAUAUGCGGUUUCGUGGGAGCUACAUCUUUGAAUUAAAAUUUAUGGUUUAUUGGUUAAUCUUGCUAAACUUGUCCCACAUCGACCAUCGCAAAAUAUUUACAGCGCUUUAUAUGCCUAGUUACAUGUUCACUGUUCGCUGAGCUAAGUCAUGCUAGCUUGUGACCCAAAUGGGGGCACCAAGGUGGUGGGACAUCGGUUCGACCCAUUCGGCAGGACUAGACGUUGCAAUUUGCUGGCUCGCCCAUUCCAAGUUGUGAGUUGGACCCUGUGGUUCGGGCUUAAGCUUGGGCCACGAGGCCCUUAGAGCGGAGGGCAAUGCGUGAGGCUGGUUUCACAGAGCAGCGAAAACCUCCCGCUCUCAAUGGUGGAAGGAUUACGGGCCGGUGCUCCGCUAGCCUAGAUUGUCUCAUGGUUUGAGACCAGUUGAACCACCACUUUUUUUCCACAUAUAACCUUUUUUUUUGUUACCACAAAUUUGACAAGUAGAUUUCCCGAAAUAAUGGAAAACUUCGAUUCAAGUAGUUUAUGUUCUUGGGAUACAAGUUGUGGUAUUGUCCCUGUUAGUUCUCAUAUCGAAAUAAUAGAAAUCUUUUAUUCAAGCAAUUUAUGUACCUGCAUUACAAAUUUGACCAUAAUAAUUUCUCUAUUGGAUUAUAUGGGAAAUACGGGAAAACUUCUAUUCAAGCAAUUUAUAUAUGUACUUGCGGGCGAUUUUCCCUAUCAUGCUCCAGUCACGACAUUUGUACAUUUAGAUACUAUUACCAUACUAUCAAGAGGAUUAGCUGCCAAGAGUAUCUAUCCAGCAAUAGAUCCUUUAGAUCACCAUCAACUAUGCUCCAACCUCGGAUCUCCAAUGAAGAAUACUUGGUUUUUUCUUCUUGUUUUCAUCACAUAGCAGGUUGACUGUUACGCUAAAGAGUUUCUCAAAUUUCAAGAUUUAUAUUUUAUAGUACUAAUAACUAAGCUGCAUGUUAUUUACAUGGUGGAAGUUUAACAUCACACGACGGAUUGAUUGUUACACUGAAGAGUUUCUCAUAUUUCACCGUAUGAACUCCAGAUGGUUGACGUACCCAAGUUUCGAUAUGAACUCCAGAUGGUUGAUCAAGCUCAUCUUCUUCCUUGCACACAAUUGCCUAUAUGUGUUGAGUGGGAGAAAACUGUAAAGAAGAGUGUUACAAUAGGUACUAUAUAUGCCUUGAAUGUUCAGUUUCAUUGGCUUGGUGUUUCUGUGGGGAUGCCAUGUACUUUUAAAGCUUGUUUGGUAUUGUUGUGCUUUUAAAAAAAAACUGAUUAUGAUGUGCUGUAAAAAUAAUCAGCUGUAAAAUAAAACAGUUAAGUUUUUGGUAAACUUUUACUGAAAAAAAUGCUUUUAACAACAAAAAAAAAAAAAAAAAAAAAAACCAUGUUCAAGUGUUUGGUAAACUUUAUGUAAAACUACUAUGGUCAUGUUAAAUGACUAAAAGACUAUAAUAUUAAAUGUGAUAUAAUAAUUUAUUUUAUUUUUUAUUUAUAAUUUCAUCUUCAAUCUUCAUCAUUUUCUGAUCACAGUCCAGUUAUUGUUCAGUGCGAACCACGUACUGGGAAGAGGAAGAGGAUUUUCCGCUUUGAAGCUCACUGGGCAAAGGAUACAGAUUGCAAAGAAAUUGUGAAAAAAGCUUGGGACAAAUUCCGAGAAGGUAACUCUGUGGAGAGGUGGAAUCUAAAAAUCAAUGAGGCUCGCUCUAAUCUUUCCAAGUGGAGUAGGGAUAAGUUUAGACAGAGAUCGUGGCAAAUUCAGGAGUUGAUGUACCACCUGGGACGACUCCAACUAAAUUGGAGAUGCAACUCCCAUGAGAUAGAAGAGCUUACAAAGAAGGUUGAUCGUUUAUGGAGUCAGGAGGAGAGCGUUUGGCAACAAAAAUCAAGGGUGCAAUGGCUUAAGGAAGGAGAUGCGAAUACUAAGUUCUUCCAUCAAUCUACCCUACAAAGAAGAAGGCGAAAUCAAGUAAUAUCGCUUAAAAAUGGGAAUGGGAACUUGGUGGAUAAUCCAGGGCAGAUCCAACGCUUAAUUGAUGAUCAUUUUGUGGAAUUAUUCACUUCUUCGGGCAACAGGGAGUGGGGUGACAUGCUCGACUGCGUUACCUCGAAGGUUUCGGAGGAGAUGAAUGUUUCGUUAAUGGCUACGGUCUCUGUGGAGGAGAUUUAAACUGCUGCCAUGAAAAUGGGAGGACUUAAAGCUCCGGGUCCUGACGGAUUCCAAGGGAUAUUCUAUCAAUCACAGUGGGACAUAAUAGCUUUUGAUGUUAAUAAUAUGAUUGUUGAUUUGAUGAACGGGUCUUUGCAGCCUUUGCGAAUAAAUGCUACUCAUCUGGCUUUAAUUCCAAAGGUUCAAAAUCCGGAGUCUGUGUCUCAAUUUCGACCCAUAAGUCUUUGCAACUACUCCUACAAGAUUCUCUCCAAGGUCUUAGCCAACCGAUUAAAAAGACUGUUGCCGGUGUUGAUCUCCGCAACCCAAAAUGCGUUUGUGGAAGGAAGACAGAUUCAAGAUAAUGUCGGUAUUGCGCAUGAGCUUUUCCAUUUUCUAAAAAAUAGAAAGACAAAAUGCAACUUUGAGCUGGGAAUUAAAUUGGAUAUGCAUAAGGCAUAUGAUCGUGUGGAGUGGGAUUUUUUAAUGGCAGUUAUGGAGAAGAUGGGUUUUAAUAGUCGAUGGAGGAGUCUGAUUAUGGGAUGCAUUUCUACAGUGAAUUUUUCCAUUCUUCUGAACGGACAGCCAGGUUCCAAAUUCACUCCCUCAAGGGGGCUUAGACAGGGGGAUCCUUUAUCCCCUUAUUUAUUCUUGCUGGUCAGUGAAGUGUUAUCACUCCUUAUUCAAUGGGAGAGUGAUAGGGGCGAAUUGAGGGGAUUCAAAUGGACCGUGUCGGUCCCAUGAUAUCUCACAUUUUCUUUGCUGAUGAUACUUUGAUCUUUCUCAAGGCGGAGGCGAGGAAUUGUAGAAAUUUAGUCCAGGUUAUAGACGAGUAUUGCUCGGCCUCGGGUCAACAGGUAAAUAAAUCCAAAUCCAGUGUGUUCUUUGGGGGGAAUAUGCCGGAACCUUUAUCUAUCCAUCUGGCUACCAUUCUUGGGAUGGAGAAAGUAGGGGACCCGGGAGUUUAUCUGGAAGUGCCGGCCAUCUGGGGUAGAUAAAAAAGAAGUGGCCUUGCGUAUGUAAAGGGAAGGCUAGGAAAAAUUCAAGGUUGGAAACGCUCCACUCUCUCACAAGCGGGGCAGGAAGUUUUAAUUAAGGCAGUGGCGCAAGCAGUUCCGACAUAUCCUAUGAAUCUCUUCAAGUUUCCUAAGAUUUUUUGCAAUGAUCUGGAUGCUUUGAUAUCCAAGUUUUGGUGGGGGCAAAAAGAAUGGGAGAACUGGAUUCACUGGGUUUCUAAGGAACAAAUGGGGAAAUCAAAGAAGAAGGUGGGCUAGGCUUGAGGUGCUUUACGGAGUUCAACGACGCUCUUUUGGCGAAACAGUGUUGGAGGUUGUUAUUGGAACCAAACUCUUUGUGGGCGUCGGUCAUUAAAGGCCGAUACUUCCCCAAUUGUUCUUUUUUUCGACGCUAAGAGGGGUGGAAGAGCUUCAUGGGCAUGGUCAAGCCUCCUUGUUGGUAGAGAAAUACUUCGGGGUGGUGCUCACUGGCAGAUAAUGAAUGGAAAUGAUGUCAGGGUUUGGGUGGAUAGAUGGCUGCCAUCUAUCCUAUCAGGACACCCAUCUCCAUUGGGUUCGGUUCCUGUCUCUUUAAACCUUAGGGUGAAUUCUUUGUUAGGCACUGAAAAUGGAAGCUGGGAGAUUGAUUUCCUUAAACCCUUUCUGAUGGAGGAGGAGCUCAAGGCGAUUUACGAGACACAUUCGGGUGACCCGCUAUUGAAAGACAGAUUAGUGUGGCCUUUUGUGAAGAAUGGAAUCUAUUCUGUCAAAUCCGGAUACCAUUGGGCUAUGACCAGGACUCGACAACAACCAAUUGGAAACCCUCACAGAUCUGCCCUCUUCCCAAAGCAGGUUUGGGAGUGUGUUUGGAAGCUUGAGGUUCAGCCAAAAAUAAGAUCCUUUAUGUGGAAGACCUUACAAGAGGCAGUGGCCACGAAAGUAAAUUUGUUUAUGCGUCAAUCCUCUUCUUCAACAAUCUGCCCUAUUUGCAAUAGGUAUGAGGAAUCAUUGGUACAUCUUUUUCUCCAAUGUUCGUGGGUAGAGGAGGUAUGGCUUGGGGGAAGGUUAACUAGAGGCUUGCGGAGGGGAGCGGUCACAACUUGGGCUAAUUGGUUGGGUGAUAUUGUUGGUUUGGUAAAUGGGCAGACAAGUGUGAGGAACAACAUGCUUUCAUAUGUUGCUACCACAUGUUGGUAUAUAUGGAAGGCAAGAUGCAACUUUCUCUUCAAUCAACAACCUAUCUUUCCUCGGCAGAUCAUUGCAGUUAUCACCCAUUCUGUGGCUGCCUUCAAGGAAUCUUCUCAGGCUACGGUAAUUAGUUUGCCAAUUUCUGUCAAUGGAUCGGCUUCUGAUGUCCAUUGGUCUUCACCUUGUGUGGGUUUUAUCAAAAUUAAUGUGGAUGCAAGCUGGUUAAGGAGUGGGGCUUCGGGUUUUGUGGGUGUUGUGGCUCGAGACGAUGCGGGCAGGUUUGUGGCAGCGAACAGGAUGAGGGUCACGGCCUUUUCUGUGGCAGUGGAAGAAGCUUUGGCAGUGCUGCAUGGGUGUGAGUUUGGAAGAAACAUGGGAUGGAAUUUUGUCAUCGUGGAAUCUGACUUUCAGGAAUCCAUAUCCUGUAUUCGAGACUUGGAUACGAUGGGCAGUUGGGAAGCUUUCCCAAUUUUAGCGCGAUGCAAAAGAUUGGGGGAGUCUUUUAAUGACUGCCGCUGGUCUUGGAUUCCAAGAUCGGCCAAUAUGGCUGCGGAUCUUCUGGCGUUGCGGCAAAGUAGGGAGGUAUGUGAUAAUAUUUGGGUCAACAGACCCCCAUCCUCCCUUGUUCAUGUUCUGUGUAAUGAUGGUCUCCCUUGUCCCCAUUAAUUUCUUCCUGGCAGUAUGAGGAGUGACAUUUUUAGCAUUUGGUGCGAUGUCGUCUUUACCUCUUUGUACUGCUUUUCCUUAGUUGUUGCUGCUUGCUUUUGCCUCGAGGUAGGCUUCUUUGUAUCUUUGGCAUCUUUGCCCGGUUGUUAGUUAUUCCAGUUCGCCAAAAAAAAAAUCCCUCCCUCCAACCCUCUGUUCUCUCCCCUUCCCAAUCACCAAAAUCGCCGACCCUCGAGAGAAAGAGAGAGCAAGAAAUUCCGAGCUUCCGAAUCUCUCCAGCUCUAUGAUCGGAUUCCAAUCAGCCAAUCCGUCCAAUCAAUUUUGAAAAAACCCAGAAGAAAAAAAAAAGAAAAAAAAGGGAAAAUCGAAGCUUUUGAGUUUCAGUUCAAAGUAUAUAGCCACAGAGAGAUUCAAAUCCGUAGCUAAUGGAUGUAGACGGAGGGGGAAGCAAAUGGGUUUUCCACAGACUAGGUAGGCAGCAAUCCAACCCGUUAAAGAACCAGAAGGUACCAUUGGAGGGCAGGCAAGUGCAAUCGCCACCCUUACCCUUUUCUCCAUAGAGAGCUCCUGACGCCGCUAUCGCAGCAAGGUCUCAAUGGGACGGCCUCGACUAAACGCCGCCUUCGCCGCUAACACUGACGGUCCAUCGUCCCAGAAUCGGGGUCCAAAUAACUUCAAUGGAGGGGCUUCUUCGACAUGGGGCACCAGAGAAGAAAUUGUUGUUCGAAUUAGCGUGCUCCGGGCUCGAGACGAUGAAUUCUACCUGGGUUUUCAUGAGCUGUCUCUCUGUGUCAGUGAAUGGAGCUCUCUAAAUUCGACCGUGUCAAUGAAAUUGAGCUCUCUGAAUUCGACCUUGGUGCUUUUUGAAUUCAACCUUGGUAAUCAACAAUCGACUUCGAUGAGGGACCUCGUCCUCUAGAACAAUCGGAUUCGAUGAUUUGAUACAAUGAGGGAAGCGAGAAGGAGAAAGAGGGUAUAAUUGGGUUUAAGAAAGUUUCAUUAAACUUUACUGUUCAUCCGCCUACUUUGAAAAAUAAGCUGGCUUUGAGAAGCAACAAAAUGCUGCUUUCAUUUUUCUGCUUAUUUUGGCCGGAACUUUGAAAAAAAACACUUAUUUUUACAUUUACCAAACACAUUUUGCACCCCAACUUUUUUUCAUAGCUGCUUUUUUUAUAAUUUCAGUUGUGCCAAACUGGUACUUAAUGUUGUCUGAUAGACUACUGGCAUAGGUUUGUAAUAUACUAUUGUUAUAUUGCAAGCAAAACUAAUUUGUAAGCAAUGUCCAUCUGCUAGAAACCUUUGCUGAUUUUUUGGAUGCUAGACCCACUUUUCAUGGAUGUUGAAUUCCAAGAUAUAAUGUAUUAUAUGGGGUUCAAAAACUUAAAACUUUUUCUCUCGUUUUUGAAAACUUAUAACUUUUUCUCUCAUUUUUCUCUCUUCUGAAAAUAAAAAAGAAAAAAAACUUCUUUAAACUCGCAUCAAAUGCAUGACAUGUGUCUUUCCCCUCGUACUGGUUAGCGGUGAGCAUUAAACCGACCAAACCGACCGAUCCGAAUCAUAUUUGAUCAGUUUGGUUUGAUUUGAUUUUGAGCAAGAAAAAAGCCAAUCAAUUAAAAAAAUGAACCGAACCGAUUUACUUUUGAAACCGACCAAAACCAAAAUGAACCGAUUAUGUAUCUUUUAAUUAUUUAUCUAUUUAUUUUACACAUGUCAACUUAUUAUAGGUUACUUAGAGGCCUUACUAUACACAUAUUAUAAGUUGUAAUGAUAAUCUACACUUACGAGAUUUAUACGUAUUUUAUGCUUAUGUGAGGUAAUUAAUAAAUCGUUUCCUAGCAUGAGAUUUUAUUUAAUUGAAACGCAUUUCUAUUUUGCUUGAUCAAUUUUUUUAUGUUCAGAAAAACUUAACCCUUCAAUCGAAUUAGAAUGUCAGACAUGUGUAAAUAUUUAGAAGAUUAAAACUCUUGAAAUGUUGAGCAAUUUUUACCGAACCAAAUUGCAUCAAACCGAUGAACAAUGGUUUGGUUUUGUUAACAAUAGAAUAUUAGUUGGUUCGGUCAUAUAUUUGGUGUCAAACCGAAUAAAACCGAUCAGCGCCCACCCUACUAGGCUAGUACUGAUUUAUUAAACCAGAAAGCAUAAAUGGUGUUUUUCAUUCUUCUGCUAUACUAAUUUAUUCAUGUAAAAAAAUUGUGAUCGAAAGAGACCAAAAUACAAUGAAGUAAUAUAUAAUAAAUCAUAGCGCAUAAGUUUGUUUUUAUUCGUCUGAUUAGGUUGGUUAAAAAUGAAAAAUAAAAAGUAAAACUGAAAAUUAAGAUCACCGUUCAAACGUUGGAUUUUUAGUACUGCAAAAACUGUUUUAGCUACUUUUGCUUAGAAGCCAAAAAUCUUAUCCUCAAGAUUCGAAAACAUCAACAUAAUAACAGAUUAACCAUGAAAUUAAGCAUGUUUAGUUGGAAUUAAUAUGUACCUCAAGUCUUGAACCCUGAAUACCAAACUCCUAAUAUAGCAGCCUGCGCUUAGUUUCUAGAAAAGGUUACCAUUUUCUCAGUUUGUUAAUUGUUUCUAGUUGAUGAAAUAAUAAACAAAGAAAAAUUGUGUUUAACUCUUGUUAAAUUGUUGGUUUCUUGUUCAUGGCUAUACAAGAAGAGGUACUAUAUAUUCUUGCGAAAGAUGGGUUAAUUUAAUUAAUCUGAUAAUAAAGAGUGAUCAAGGAUUAAGAUUAGGGUUUUCGUUUGGAGGUCAUGGAGUUCUUACCACUAAGGUUAAGGAUUGUACAAGGGAUGUGUGCCAUUGCUUUUAUUAUUGCCUCUUUGUCACAAGGUUUGCAAUUAAUUUGUAAUUAUAAAUUAACUUCAACAUCUGAAAUCUUAAAAUUUCUCUUUAUAAUUAUUUUUUGCUUUUGUUUGCUCACCAUAUUGCAUUGCAUCAACUAAAACAAAAAUUACAAGUGUGGAACAGUUCUUCAUAUAAAAAUAUGUUGAAGCACGAUCUUUCCGAUCAAGAAAACAUGUCUUCGUUUUUUUUUUCUUCGUAAUUUUCAAGCUACAUGCAUUAGGCAACUCAAACAUGAAGAAAGGACUAAAUUAAGUGCUGUUGACGCAGCUGAUGUGAAUGCUGAGAGCAAGUUUCAGCCAUUGCAAAAUGCAUCAAACCCUCAAGAACUAAAAGUGAAGAGGUCCGACUUCCCCAUUGAUUUCGUGUUCGGAGUGACUGCUGCUGCUGCACAAAUGGAAGGAUCUGCAAAGGAAGCAGGAAGAGGACCAAGUGUCUGGGACUACUACAUUGAGAAAUUCCCAGGUUUAUAUAUAUAUCAGCUGCUAAGACAUUAUAAUGCAUAAAGUUCUUUUCUUAGUAUCAUAUGCUCGUUCUGUUUUGUUUAUGAUUUUUUUGUUUACAUUCAGGACGGAUUGCAGACCACACGAACAUGUUUACCGCCAUCGAUUCAUACAAGCGAUACAAGGUGCAUAUUGAGCUAGCGAUACCUUCGUCUUUUGGCAUAAAUAUUUAACCAAAUAUUCAUAAUUGUAGGAAGAAGUGAAGAAUCUCAAGGACCUUGGAGUUGAUUCUCACAGAUUUUCCAUCUCUUGGACCAGGAUUCUUCCUAGUAAUCAAUUUUACCGAGUUCUUUUUUUUUUUCUCCGCUAAUAAGUGGUUCUGCUAAUCUGUAAAUUAAAAUUGAGGGUUUUAUGAUUAAUCUCUACUAAACUCUUCCUCUAUAUAUGUUUGAAAUUCUUAAUGUGUAGCGGGAACCUUGAGUGGUGGAGUAAACCAAGAGGGUAUCGAUCACUACAACAACUUCAUCAAUGAACUAAUCAAGAAUGGUAAGAAUCCCUGUUCAAGCAAAUCCUUUAUAUUAUGACAUUAAUUUAUCUUCUUAUAUAUUAUACAUAAGAUCCUUUUAUAUCAAUAUCGUCGAAUGAAAUAAACUCCACUUCAGUUGGUUCGGACCUCCACUUGGUUUCACCCAAGCUUUUUUGAAUCUGUAUAUCCAGAAUGAUCCCAUAGAGUUCUGUAGUCUCAUGAAGUUCCACAUUAACAUCAUAUGACGGGGUUAACUAUCACACCAAAGUGGUUCUAAUAUUUCACUUUUAUGUAGACAUCACACCAUUUGUGACCAUAUUGCACUUUGAUCCACCACAAGCUUUGACAGACAAGUAUGGCGGCAUCCUCAAUCGCUCCUUCGUGUAAGAACCUUCUAAAUUACAUCCAUUUCAUUUCUCGUAGUUUAGGAUAAUAUAAAAUUUAGUCAUUGACAUAAAUAGAUAUUUUCUUUGUCACGUUUUGCAGGAAAGAUUUCAAGGAUUACAGUGAACUUUGUUUUAAACUUUUUGGAGAUAGGGUGAAAAAUUGGUUUACAAUCAACGAGCCGUGGAUCAUGGCGAAAAUGGGGUACGACAAAGGCGUUGGUCCGCCGGGCAGGUGUUCUGUUCAAACUGUAUUUCCAUGUACAAAUGGUGGUAAUUCAGCCACGGAACCUUACAUUGUGGCACACCACCUUCUCCUUGCCCAUUCUUCAGUCGUUGAGCUAUACCGGAAGAAAUUUCAGGCGAAAUGCUCACACUGAAUCUGUUGAAAUGAAUGAAGCCUUGUCUUUUGAGUAUCUCAAAUUAAUGAGAUAAAUGUUCUUUCUUGGUUGAUAUUGGUUUUUAGGAUAAACAAGGCGGACAAAUUGGAAUUAGUCUUGUAGGACAAUAUGUCAUGCCUUAUUCGAAUUCGGCAGAAGACAAAGCUGCAGCAGAAAGAAUAUUAGACUUUGAACUUGGAUGGUUAGUAGAUAUAUCUACAUUGGUCCUAAAUAUACUUGCUCGAUUGGUAUAAGAAGUCUUCUAGUUGUAAAUUUUCCUAAAAACAAUAUGAUGUUCUUGUUUAGGUUCAUGGAACCAUUAGUAUAUGGAUCAUAUCCAGAGAGUAUGAGACGUUUGGUCAAGGACAGGCUACCACAUUUCACCAAGGAGGAGGAGAAGAUGAUCAAUGGAUCCUUAGGUUUUGUCGGCAUCAACUAUUACUCCACAAGAUAUGGUAGAAACGUCCCAGCAAAACCACAAGGACCAAUCUCUUAUAGCGACGAUCUUUUAGCUUUGGCGUUGAUCAAAAGUAAAUUUGAUAAUAUCUCAAUGUUACUUCUUUUGUGUGUGCACGCGCGCGUUAUUGUGCCAAUGAAGGUUAAAUUGAUUGGAAUUUUUAAGUCUUACACGGUUUUUUCAUGUUGUGAUUGUUGUAGAUGAAAACGGAACCCAAAUUGGUCCUCAGGUAUACAAAAGAGCAUUGACCCAUGCGCAAGGAUGAUUCGCAUAUAUAAUUUUGUACCAUGUAGUUUCCAUCUUUCUAUAUAUAGCAAAACUAAGUUCUUUCAACCGUGUAGGCUGGAGGAAGUCGGUUCGUCUACAGUUACCCACAAGGCCUGGAACAACUUCUAAAGUUUAUGAAGAAGAAGUACCAGGACCCUAAAAUCUACAUUUCUGAACAUGGAAUAACUGAGGCAAAGGACGAUAAACUAAGACUUAGUGACGCACUUAAGGAUCCACAUAGAAUUGAAUCCAUUCUUCGCCAUUUGUACCGGAUCAAGAAUGCAAUGAAGUAAGUCACUGCAAUCUAUGUUUACAAGUUUGAGGAUGUAGUAUCCAUUUACUUAUGUUGUUUUUGUUUCUCCAGGAGUGGUGUGAAUGUCAAAGGAUAUUUCCACUACACGUUAUCUGAUAAUUUUGAAUGGGGAGAAGGCCAUAUCCCAAGAUUUGGGCUUUACUAUGUCGACUACAAAGACAAUCUCAAGCGCAUUCCUAAGGGGUCUGCUAAGUGGCUCCCUAAGUUCCUAAAGGGCGAGGCUUGACGUAGUCAAGUUUCGUUAUAAAAGCUCAUCUACUUUCUUGCACACAAAUGCAGAAAACUGUAAAGAAAGAGUGGUAAAAUAUGUGCUAUAUAUGCCUUGAAUGUUCUGUUUUAUAGGCUAGGUAUUUCUGUGGGAAUGCCCUGUACUUUUAAUACUGGCAUAGGUUUGCAAUAUAGUUGUUAUAUUGCAAGCAAAACAAUCUUACAUCAACUUCUUUGAUGGUCCAAUAUCCUAGUGGAUAGGGUGUUGGUUUUUCAUCCAUGCGUCUCGAGUUCGAAACUCCCUAAUCCCCUAAAUUAUUGUAAUAGUUUAGAACUUUCCCUUCUCCUUAAUAAUAACAUUUUAAGAAAGAAAAAAAAAGAGAGAAGAGUUUAAGGGUUUCUUACACUCAAUGAAACAAGUGAAGCAAUUGUAUCUCCCAUUGCAAGGAGGCAGGAGUUUCCUAUAUUAUCCUAUUUUUCCUUAUUUCUGCUAUAAAUAAUUGGCCCCAUGGGAAGGGGAUUAGUCUGUCGUUAAUGUGUGGUGGGAUACCUUCUAUACUCACGCAUUACUUUCUAAUAACAAAACGAAGCGAAAAAAACAGGGAAGGAGGAGUGCAAAACACCCAAACCCAUUUUAUAGAAAUUUGUAAGCAAUGUCCAUCUGCUAGAAACCUUUCAUUAUUUUUGGGAUCCCAGACCCAUAAUAACAGAUUAUGGGUUUGGUCUUAAUCAUGUCAUUAAUUUGUAUGUUCUAGAUUCAAGAACAUCAACAUAACAACAGAUUAAGCAUGAUGUUAAGCAUGUGGUUUGGGUCUUAAUCAAGUCAUUAAUUUGGACUUAAUCCCCUGUCUACUAAUGAUUCAGAGGGCAUCGAUCGUGUAAAUUACAAGUACGGAUUAAUGACUAGAUUUUGAUGAAUUGAUGAUGAACGGUAAGAAUCCAUCAUAAACAUUACAUUUUCUGGGAUAUUAUGGUUUACAAGCUAGAGUGUUAACUCCUCUUUUAUACAAUCAAAUCCUUAUAUCGAUGAUGUUGAUCUUAUUGUGUGUAAUUAGAUAGUUUUUUUUUUUUUUAAUUUUUUUUUAAUUUUUAAUAUUCAUAUCAAGAAUAUUUUAAGUUUUUCUGCAAUUUCAAAUGCAUUAUAUCGGUCACAACAUGGGCGGAGCCACUAAGGAACCAGAAUGGUCCCUAGCUCAUCAUGCCUUUUUUUCUUUCUUUCUUGGUACUCUAACAGAUGUUGCUGCUGCAUAUCAGUCUAAGAGAAUCUCCAAAAGAGAUGUCAAACUGUCUAAAUCAGCAUUAAUAGUAACAAAAGACAACAUUAAUGUAUUUUCAUUUUAUGUUUAAAAUUUGGCAUAUCGGUUGAAGAGUAAAACUUUAAAAGAUGUCAAAGUAACACGUAAGCCUUCAAAUUUAAAUUUUACAUUUAGAAUUUGACAUCUCCUUUGGAGAUUGUCUAAUACUCUUAAAAUUCAAUUGUAUUAUUAAUCCAAACUCUUUUCCGUUCCAUUGUAUUCUUAAUCCAAACUAUUUUCUAUUCCAGCGUCAUUUUUCUCUCAACAGUACCGAGAGCUUUUCGUUAAAGUCCCUUAUUGGAGUCCAGUCUUCACUUGCCCUCAUUAUUGUAUCAACUUUUCUUUAGCUUUAACAUAUAUUUUAAAUUUUUAUUGCUUACUUAACCUCAUAUUUGAGUUUUUAGGUUUGUACAAUAUUUUUAGUUAUCUCCAUUGAAUUUAGCGUCUUUCAAUUUUAAUGCAAAGUACUCUAAUUUUUCAUGUUUUAAGUUAAAAUUACCUAUGUUUUGAGAGACUGCCCACUUAUAAAAUCCUAAGAUUGCAAAAUGAGUGCUUGUACUGCCAGUGGCCAAUUGAACUUUGUCACAUACUUCUUUGUCCCAACACCGGCCAACAAGAAUUAUACCAAGCACUUAUAAAAUCCUAACAUCUCAUUACUUGUUCACUGUUCGCCGAGUUAGGUCGCGCUAGCUUGCAACUCAAGUGGGGGCACCAAGAUGGUGGGACAUCGGUUCAACUCAUUUGGCAGGGCUUUGCUGUUGCAAUUUGCAGGCUCGCCCGUUCCAAGUUGUGAGUUGGGUCAUGUGGUUCGGGCAAUGCGUGAGGCUGGUUUAACAGAGCUGCGAAAACCUCUCGCUCUCAACAACGGAAGGAUUACGGGUUGGUGCACCGCUAGCCCAGAUUGUCUCAUGGGUUGAG
RNAcentral lists this long non-coding RNA (20417 nucleotides) under Malus domestica (apple). Its description in RNAcentral is "long non-coding RNA (MDOM_LNC006245)". The stretch from base 2349 to 2652 matches the Rfam family "Plant signal recognition particle RNA". Lineage: Eukaryota; Viridiplantae; Streptophyta; Magnoliopsida; Rosales; Rosaceae. The record is from RNAcentral.